Molecule: ribosomal RNA, 253 nt
Filed under: uncultured bacterium
Lineage: Bacteria
Description: partial 16S ribosomal RNA
Rfam family: Bacterial small subunit ribosomal RNA
Source: RNAcentral
UACGUAGGGGGCAAGCGUUGUCCGGAAUCAUUGGGCGUAAAGAGCGUGUAGGCGGCCUGAUAAGUCGGCUGUGAAAGUCAAGGGCUCAACCCUUGAAUGCCGGCCGAUACUGUCAGGCUAGAGUCCGGAAGAGGCGAGUGGAAUUCCUGGUGUAGCGGUGAAAUGCGCAGAUAUCAGGAGGAACACCAAUUGCGAAGGCAGCUCGCUGGGACGUUACUGACGCUGAGACGCGAAAGCGUGGGGAGCAAACAGG